Molecule: ribosomal RNA, 285 nt
Filed under: uncultured bacterium
Lineage: Bacteria
Description: partial 16S ribosomal RNA
Rfam family: Bacterial small subunit ribosomal RNA
Source: RNAcentral
ACACGUGCUACAAUGGCCGGCACAGAGGGAUGCGACCCCGCGAGGGGGAGCGGACCCCGCAAAGCCGGCCCCAGUUCGGACCGGGGGCUGCAACCCGCCCCCGCGAAGCCGGAGUCGCUAGUAAUCGCGGAUCAGCACGCCGCGGUGAAUGUGUUCCCGGGCCUUGUACACACCGCCCGUCACACCACCCGAGUCGUCUGCACCCGAAGUCGCCGGCCGAACCCGGAAGGGGCGGAGGCGCCGAAGGUGUGGGGGGCGAGGGGGGUGAAGUCGUAACAAGGUAAC